UAAAACCAGCUCUUCGAGUGGUGUCCAUGAUUAUUGAGCUUAAAGCGUUCGUAGCCGGUUUAGUAGGUCCCUGCUUAAAUCCGGCCGCCUAACGGUCGGUCUGGUAGGGAUACCGCUUUACUUGGGAAUGGGAGACGACGACGGUAUUCCGCAGGUAAGGGUGAAAUCUGAUGAUCUGCGGAGGACCACCAGUGGCGUAGGCGGUCGUCGAGAACAUGUCCGACGGUGAGGGACGAAACCCAGGGGAGCGAAUCGGAUUAGAUACCCGAGUAGUCCUGGGCGUAAACGAUGCCCGUUAAGUGUAGCAGCGGCCACGAGCCACUGCUGUGCUGUAGCGAAAGCGAUAAACGGGCCGCUUGGGAAGUACGGUCGCAAGACUG
RNAcentral lists this ribosomal RNA (380 nucleotides) under uncultured archaeon. RNAcentral describes it as "bacterial SSU rRNA". It matches the Rfam family "Archaeal small subunit ribosomal RNA", at positions 471 to 851 of the family's 1478-position model. The record is from RNAcentral.